ACGUCGAUAGUGCAAUUGGUUAGCACGUUUCCCCGGAAAAGGUAAGAUACGGAUUCAAUUCCUGUCUGACGCC
Molecule: non-coding RNA, 73 nt
Organism: Parelaphostrongylus tenuis
Lineage: Eukaryota; Metazoa; Nematoda; Chromadorea; Rhabditida; Metastrongylidae
Source: the annotation of a GenBank genome assembly